AACAUGGCCGCCACCUCCAGGAUCAUGGCGUCUUUGACAUUGACACCAAGCAGCUAAAGCCUGUAUAUAGCAAACCCCAAUCCAAUCUCUUAUGUAGGAAUCACUGAUCUCUUGGUUGCCAUCUUCAACGCCGGAUCAUUUUUUAUCCCUGCAUGGCCAAUCCUGAUAUCUUCUGCUAGAAUUGCCGUUCGCUUGGUUACCGGAUUGAUCCCUGCAUGGCCGAUCGUUCUGUUGCCAAGCUCAACGCCGGAUCAUUCGUCUAAGCUGGAACCGCACUAGCUAAUGCAUUACCAUGUGUAUGUGCAAAGGCAUGCACCGUCAAUUCUCCAUGCUGAAAUUCCAAUCUAUGUGGUAGAUCAGACAGUUCCUAGCAUCAUUCCCGAUCUGGAGAGCUACACCACUUCACCGGUAUCAAGGGGAACAAUAUGUAGGCGCUCAAGGAGGCAAGAACAUGAUCGAAGGUGACAGCACCGGUGAUGAUGUACUACUCCCUGAUUGAUGGGAUGAGGCUCCAAUGGCAAACAAGAGUAUCAACGGGAACAAUAUGUAGGCGCUCAAGGAGGAAACAUGGUCGGAGAUGACGCCACGAGCGGCCAAAAGGAGAAAAAUGAUGAUGUAC
Molecule: long non-coding RNA, 619 nt
Organism: Lolium perenne
Lineage: Eukaryota; Viridiplantae; Streptophyta; Magnoliopsida; Poales; Poaceae
Source: RefSeq, a predicted model, not a curated record